This is a long non-coding RNA of Scylla paramamosain (green mud crab), 843 nucleotides long. RefSeq lists it as uncharacterized. NCBI's taxonomy places the organism in Eukaryota, Metazoa, Arthropoda, Malacostraca, Decapoda, Portunidae. The transcript is spliced from 2 exons. The record is from RefSeq and is a predicted model, not a curated record.
CCACAGGAGUGAUGGAGAAAAAAAAAGUUACUGAACAUAUCGGGGCGGCUAUCGGCACCUCUCUUACCAUCCUGCAUCGACUCACUCUAUGAACAAAGCCAAGAAUCCCUUUGCAGCUCUAAAGAUUUUGAGGCGGGAGAGGGCAAGUCGGUGCACACGGGAGGGGUGAGCGACGGUAAGGUGGUGGUCUGGCGGCGGAGGAGGCCAGCCGCCGGCCUCGCCCUGACCCGACCCUCGGAACCCACAAGAUUUACGACAUCGCGGACUUGGCAGGAGAGAGAGCGAGAAGCUAAAACUCUCCAGGAACCCUCCGUGUGGUCCUCGCAGUGACUCAGAAGUAGGCCACUCAGUGAUUUUUAAGUGUUUGGUGAAUCCACGAAAAAAGUCUCGUCUCGUCUUUGCUGGUGCACAACAACAACAGUGGACACUGAACGCUACCGGUGUCAGUCUGAGCAAAGACUUCCAUCGCCGCGCUGCGCCGGUGAAAAGCUGAAAAGUCUUAUUAUACUUUGUGUUCGCUUCGAGAUAGAAUUCUUGGCAUUCAGGUCUCAAAAAAGAAAAAUGAAAUAAAGAUGCCAGGUGUUUGUAAAUAAUCAGAUUUACGAGGCUAAGUGAAGUCUAGGCUGUGACAGCGUGCCCAGGAGAGGUGCCGCGGCUCCCGCCACCGCUCGCAAGCCCACGGAGUGUCGGAGGUCCGACAUCAUCUUUCUUUUGACGAUAUCGGCAGUGUUUUCUCGAGUGAUCUUAAGAAAACAGUAGCAGUAAUACUUAACACUUUCUCACUCCAAUGGAAGUGUUGCGUUCAAUUAAAACCAAUAAUAUUACGAAACCCUAGUACGAAAA